Molecule: ribosomal RNA, 327 nt
Filed under: uncultured eukaryote
Lineage: Eukaryota
Description: partial 18S ribosomal RNA
Rfam family: Eukaryotic small subunit ribosomal RNA
Source: RNAcentral
CCCUUAGAUGUCCGGGGCCGCACGCGCGCUACACCGAGGGGAUCAAUGUGUGUCUCUCCUGACCCGUCAGGGUUGGGUAACCCGUUGAACCUCCCUCGUGCUUGGGAUCGGGGCUUGAAAUUCUUCCCCGUCAACGAGGAAUUCCCAGUAAGUGCGAGUCAUCAGCUCGCAUUGAUUACGUCCCUGCCCUUUGUACACACCGCCCGUCGCUACUACCGAUUGGAUGGUUUAGUGAGGACGUUGGACCGGCAGCCGGCGAGGUUUCCGAGCUGGCACGUCGGGAAGACGUUCGAACUUGAUCAUCUAGAGGGAGUAAAAGUCGUAACA